Molecule: long non-coding RNA, 545 nt
Organism: Zingiber officinale
Lineage: Eukaryota; Viridiplantae; Streptophyta; Magnoliopsida; Zingiberales; Zingiberaceae
Exons: 4
Source: RefSeq, a predicted model, not a curated record
UGGGGGGCAUCCAUCUUCUUGAGUUGCCGCAUCUACGUGGGUUGUCUGUUAGCCGAGAGGAGGAAAGAACUGAGCCCUAGCAUCUCCAACCUUCCCUGUUGUUGCCCUCUUCACCCGUGACCAACCACCAACCAUGAGUAGCAGCUUGCCUCAUUGUGGGCAUGAGCUAUCAACUGUAGCCACCGUCUCUCUAUUGCCUACUGUGAUUACUGGAUAUGAAGGGAGUUUGGUGUUUGGAUUGUUAGGUUAGCAAAGGAAGGAAGUGGUGGAUAAUGGUAGAUCACUGCCAUUGACCGUAAGCCACUUCCAGUGCCAUAUUGUUGCCGAGUUUGGGAGACUUUGAUUCAGGACGAGCAUCUCGACGUGGGAUUCGGUUAUCACGAUCGACAGAUUAAGGUUGAUGCUGUCCGGAGAGUUCGAGUCGCUAGUCCCUUGAAGAUCCAGAGUUAUUUGGUCUUUUGUUAUGUUUCUUAUUGCACUAUCUGGCUUGUAUUAGUUUACCUUAUGGAUUCUUAUUUGUCGAUGGAUUUGGAUUGGAUGUGUUU